UAACGAAUGUGAUGUUCUUCUAAAUAUUGAUCUAACCAAACCUGGUGACCUUCAAUACCAAUGGGAGGAAAGCUCAGCAAUUCCCAAUGAUGGCACCAUCGCGGCAGCUGGAGGCAUAAUCCGAACUUCAGAAUGCAGCCCACCAAAAGGAGAGAGAAGAAAGACCCAGCUGUCACCGACAGCAGGCAGGGUCGGUCUGGAAAGAGGGAUGACUUCUCCCCCUGGAAAGAAGGCCGAAGACUUCAGAGGACAUGGCCUGAUCCUUGCAGAAAGAGGCAUCAUCCCUAUCAGGAAUGCCCUCCAGCAGAAUCUGUGAGUUCCGAACUCUUUGCUGAGCCAGGAUGCUGCCUUUCUGCACAAAGCUACCGGAGAAAAACGGAAAGAAAUGACAGCAUGUCAAGAUGCACAUUUUCAAGGGAAAAGUUAAAGAUCAGCAUUAUAAUUUUAAACUUAAGAACAAGCACUUAGAAGUCAUGUAUUUGUUGAUUAACUACCCAGUUCAGCUUGGGGCGAUGGACCUGGGGAGGAACAAGGAUACCAGAUACUGGGUUGAAGCCUGAACGCAAUGUGACAAAUGUCUUUUGAGAAAAUACCCAUUGUGACUGCAGAGUACAUCGCUGCGCAUUGUGCCAUCAGUAAAAAAAAGGAAAAAAAGAGCAUGGUUAUAAAAGCACAGCCCUGAAUCCAACAGCUUCUCAGCCUUGACAGAAACCCCACGGGCUGAUACUGAGGCUUACUUCAAAUCUUAAAAUUUACCUGCAUGGAAAACUU
Podarcis raffonei (Aeolian wall lizard) is the source of this 771-nucleotide long non-coding RNA. RefSeq lists it as uncharacterized. The record is from RefSeq and is a predicted model, not a curated record. The transcript is spliced from 6 exons. Lineage: Eukaryota; Metazoa; Chordata; Lepidosauria; Squamata; Lacertidae.